CUUAAGACAAUUGUGUGCCAGAGCCUACUCCCACUUUUAUUCCACUGCCAUGAUGAGAACCGGAACGUGGCAGAGGCUUCUCGGGAAACGCUGAUUUGUGCGGCCAAGUUCCUGAAGAGGAGAAAUCUUGGGCAGCUGGUGAAGAAGGAGCAGCUGUCGAAGUUUGCCGAGUGCCUGCUGGCAGAGGACAGGAGCCGAGCGGCCGAGCGCCUGCACCAGGCGCUGCCGUUCGCGGAGAGCCCGCAGGAGUCCCUGCGAGAGGCGGCCGUCAGGUUCAUCGGGACUGCCAGGGUGUUCUUGAGGGGGCACAAGGAAGAGCUCCAGCUCCUCGGUGAGGCCCUUCAAGCCCUGAGGAGAGACGACAGCCCUUCCCAGACAAACAUCAUAGUUCAGGAAAUACUCAACGAAAGAGCUGCAG
This is a long non-coding RNA of Corvus hawaiiensis (hawaiian crow), 418 nucleotides long. RefSeq lists it as uncharacterized. The transcript is spliced from 5 exons. NCBI's taxonomy places the organism in Eukaryota, Metazoa, Chordata, Aves, Passeriformes, Corvidae. The record is from RefSeq and is a predicted model, not a curated record.